Molecule: long non-coding RNA, 4605 nt
Filed under: Mytilus galloprovincialis (Mediterranean mussel)
Lineage: Eukaryota; Metazoa; Mollusca; Bivalvia; Mytilida; Mytilidae
Source: RNAcentral
UAUACCCACUGUCAACAUCCGUUUUCAAACUGGACAGACAAAAUUAAAAAAAAGUGUUCUUCACGAUCUCCCUGGAAAUAAUUCGAAGCAAAUAAUUCACGCUAUCACUUUGUGAACAUUAAUUGUAAACACGAAACUGCAAAUACGGACCAAAACGAAUCAAAUUUGAAAGCGUGGAUGAUAAUGUUUCAUGCCGACUGUAAGUUCUCUAAAAAAGGGGGUGGGGUGGGUAGGUACUUUAUGAAUUUUGCUGCACGUCAAAGACGUCCAUGUACUAAAUCAUUAGAAUGUAAGACAUAUUCACUUUAACUCUUGGCUACUUUAUACCUGGUCUUAUAUAAAUAAAUUCCCAUUUUAUCUGGGAACAAUUAAUUUUAUCUUCAUUAUAAACUAACUAUAUAUCUAACUAAUUUUAUUCAGGAUAAAAUCCAGUACAAAAGGAUCAUCGCUGAAACACAUGAACACAUAUAAAAACAUAUACAAAACAAAACAACAAUAAAACAUAACAGCCAAAACUUUUGACACUUAUAACAACAUGAACAAGCAAGAGACAAAACUCAUUAUAUGUUUAUGUGUUAAGAAUCAGAAUGUAUUGUGUAUUGUUGUCAUUAUUGCCCGUCAGGGGCCCUUAAUUGGAAAUAUAAAGAAUUUUGAACUUUUAUAUGUCCCUGAUUUCAUUUAUAUAAUACAUGUACACUCAAGUUUAAUAUUUUAUCUAUAAAGGAAUUAAAUCUUUUAUGAACACAAAUUGAUACAAUACAAAGGGAAAGGGAUUAUAGGCACUUGUUUCUGACAAAGGGGGUUCACUAUCCAUACUCUUCUUUCCCAUAUAUAAAAAAAUAAACCAGAUACAUGUAGUAUCCCCAUUGUAAUUAACCAAUCACCCGUCACCCAUUCAAGAGCUUACACAGUGACAUACAUUUACAUGUCAGACCAGAAACUAACAAAUUUCAGUGGCAAAACCAGAACUUUUCAUAAAAAGGGGGGGGGGGGGGCUCCAGUCCCUAUAUUAUCAACCAAAUUUUUUCCAACAAGGUCUCAAUAGUCAUGACAGUGGUGGUUCCAUGAUUUUAAUUUAGAAAAACUGGGUUGUGAGUGGGAGCCUGUAAUUCAGUGGUUGUCGUUUGUUUAUGUGUUACAUAUUUGUUUGUUCGUAUUUUCAUAAAUAAGGCCUUUAGUUUUCUCGUUUGAAAUGUUUUACAUUGUCUCAUCGGGGCUCUUUAUAGCUGACUAUGCUGUAUGGGCUUUGCUCAUUGUUGAAGGCUGUACAGUGACCUAUAGUUUUUAAUGUCUGUGUCAUUUUGGUCUUUUGUGGAUAGUUGUCUCAUUGGCAAUCAUACCACAUCUUCUUUUUUAUAUUAUACAUAAAAAAUAAAUUUUCAAGACUUGGAAAUAUUUUCUUUGCCCAUUAUUGCCUUUAACUUUUAUGUAUUGAGCAAAAUGCUUGAGGCAUAAUUAUUUUAAUACUUAGUAAAAACAUGUAUUUUCUUGGUAAAUCAUAUGGCAAAUUUGUAUUAAUGUGUUGAUAAUAACAAUGCAAAGUUUAAUUUUGCUUUGAAUAAUUUAGUAUAUAAUUUAUUUAGUAAUUGUAUGUACAUUUGCUUUAUAUUUACAGGAAGGAGAAAGAUGUUCACUAUGAAUCAAAAUUCAAUACAUAGGACUUUUAUAUAUAUAUCAACAAAAAACACUUGUACAUGUACAUGUGUAUGUGUGAUAUACAUACAUGUACAACAAGAAAACAGUAAUCAAAUGGAAUGUCAAUGACCAGUGUCCAAUAAUGUUGAAAGCAAAAUGAUUUUGAUAGAAAACAAUAGGACUAGAAUAUAUUAAGGGUAAGUAAUCCAAAAGUGUCUGUUUAGGGUAAAAACAGUCAGUUAUUUACAGUGUGCUAUGAUUUCAAUCCCACAAAUAUGAAACAAAAAAAUAAUAUACAUGGUAUGCAGACUGUUUUCAUAAGGGAAUAGACUGAAAAUAUCUACAUUUAACAGUCAGACAUAAUUAUAUACUAAAUUAUUCUUUUUAUAAUAUAUAAAAGUUGCCAAUGGAAUAAAUUGAGGAUGGAAAUUAUAAUUAAUGAGAUAUAGGUAAAAGAAUCAUACACAGACUUUAAGGCCGAAUGGUACAUGUAUUCUUUAAUAGUUUAAAGAUUUUAUUCUGUUAUCUAUGCUGUAUAAAUGUCAAGAUAGUUACAUUUGGAUUUAAAACCUAAUUUCAAGAAUGAAGGGUACCAUAAUUUAAAUUUAAUUUAUGAUAAAAAAAACAAUAUAAGGGAAUUAACUCUUACAUGAUGUGCAUCAUAUCCAUGCAAAUGAAGCGUUUUAAUAAAUCUGACCAUUUUUAUACGACUGCAAAAAUUAAAAAAUUUUGGUCGUACAUGUAUAUUGGUAUCACAUUGGCGUCUUCGUCGUCGUCUGAAUACUUUUAGUUUUAGCACUCUAACUUUAGUAAAAGUGAAUAGAAAGCUAUGAAAUUUAUACACAAGGUUUAUAACCACAAAAGGAAGGUUGGGAUUGAUUUUGGAAGUUUUGGUCCCAACAUUUUAGGAAUUAGGGGCCAAAAAGGGCCCAAAUAAGCAUUUUCUUGGUUUUCGCACUAUAACUUUAGUAUAAGUAGAUAUAAAUCUAUGAAAUUUUGACACAAGGUUUAUGACCACAAAAGAAAGGUUGGGAUUGAUUUUGAGAGUUUUGGUUUCAACAGUUUAGGAAUUAGGGGCCAAAAAAGGGCCCAAAUAAGCAUUAUUCUUGGUUUUCGCACAAUAACUUUAGUAUAAGUAAAUAGAAAUCAAUGAAAUUUAAACACAAGGUUUAUGACCACAAAAGGAAGGUUGGGAUUGAUUUUGAGAGUUGAGGUCCGAGCAGUUUAGGAAUUAGGGGCCAAAAAGGGGCCCAAAUAAGCAUUUUUCUUGGUUUUCGCACCAUAACAAAGUCAAUAGAAAUAUGAAAUUUAAACACAAGGUUUAUGACCAUAAAAGGAAGGUUGGGAUUGAUUUUGGAAGUUUUGGUCCAAACAGUUUAGGAAUAAGGGGCCCAAAGGGUUUGAUUUCAUCAAAAAUUGAAUAAUUGGGGUUCUUCAAUAUGCCGAAUCUAACUGUGUAUGUAGAUUCUUAAUUUUUGGUCCUGUUUUCAAAUUGGUCUACAUUAAGGUCCAAAGGGUCCAAAAUUAAACUUAGUUUGAUUUUAACAAAAAUUGAAUCCUUGGCCAAGUUGGGGUUCUUUGAUAUGCUGAAUCUAAAAAAUACUUAGAUUUUUGAUUAUUGGCCCAGUUUUCAAGUUGGUCCAAAUCGGGGUCCAAAAUUAAACUUUGUUUGAUUUCAUCAAAAAUUGAAUAAUUGGGGUUCUUCGAUAUGCCAAAUCUAACUGUGUAUGUAGAUUCUUAAUUUUUGGUCCCGUUUUCAAAUUGGUCUACAUUAAAGUCCAAAGGGUCCAAAAUUAAACUAAGUUUGAUUUUAACAAAAAUUGAAUUCUUGGGCUUCUUCUUUGAUAUGCUGAAUCUAAACAUGUACUUAGAUUUUUAUUAUGGGCCUAGUUUUCAAAGUUGGUCCAAAUCAGGAUCUAAAAAUUAUUAUAUUAAGUAUUGUGCAAUAGCAAGAAAUUUUCAAUUGCACAGUAUUGCGCAAUAGCAAGAAAUCUUCAAUUGCACAGUAUUGUGCAAUAGCAAAUAUUUUCAAUUGCACAGUAUUGCGCAAUAGCAAGAAAUAUCUAAUUGCACAAUAUUGUGCAAUAGCAUGAAAUUUUCAAUUGGAGUCUUAUCUUUCUUUGUUCAGAAUAGUAGUUGAAUCAACUUAAAUCAUUGUUUUAUACAAUAUACAAUGUAUAUUCACUUUUACUACCAACUGAUAAAUUAAAACAAUCUUUACCAUUCAGUGAUUACAAGCACUUUCUUUACGUUUUAAUAUUUUAUGAUGUAUUUAAAUGAGUAGUUAUUGUUGCAAACUCCAUUAGAAAUUUGAAUUGAGAUCAGUUUUGGAAUAAGGGAAAGGGGGAUGUGAAAAAAAAUUGGGGGGGGGGGGGUUAAAUUUUUUUCAUUUCAGAUUUCAUAAAUAAAAGAAAAAUUUCUUCAAACAUUUUUUUGAGAGGAUUAAUAUUAACAGCAUAGUGAAUUGCUCAAAGGCAAAAAAAAAUUUUUAAGUUCAUUAGACCACAUUCAUUCUGUGUCAGAAACCUAUGCUGUGUCAACUAUUUAAUCACAAUCCAAAUUUAGAGCUGAAUCCAGCUUGAAUGUUGUGUCCAUACUUGCCCCAACCGUUCAGGGUUCAACCUCUGCGGUCGUAUAAAGCUGCGCCCUGCGGAGCAUCUGUUUUUUUUAGAUAAGAGAAUGACUUGAGCAGACUGUAUUGGGGUCAUAGAUGGCAAUAACAAUGAAAUACAAUAUAUUAUAAUUAUCAUUCUUCCUUUCUUUUUGAUUAAAUUAACAAACUUAAUUUAAUAACAAAAUAUUUCAUUUUCAGUAAACAACACAUCCUGUCAGAGGAAUAAUUUUACUGGAGGAUAAAACUUUUUAUAAAAAUUGAUACCUGGAAUCAGCAAUUUAUAUGAAAUUUGUUAUGAGAGAUAUAUUCGUGUACAGAAUGGUAAUCCAGGUGGUUCAAGUGAUUAUAAGAAGACA